AGAUCGAUGAUGAUGAUUAUGUAUAAUUGCCUGAUAGACCAUGAGGGCAAUUUCAGUCACUACCUCAUCUGAGAUCAUCU
Molecule: small nucleolar RNA, 80 nt
Organism: Spea bombifrons (plains spadefoot toad)
Lineage: Eukaryota; Metazoa; Chordata; Amphibia; Anura; Pelobatidae
Product: small nucleolar RNA SNORD11B
Exons: 1
Source: RefSeq, a predicted model, not a curated record